CCUACGGGGGGCAGCAGUGAGGAAUAUUGGUCAAUGGUCGGGCGACUGAACCAGCCAAGCCGCGUGAGGGAUGAAGGUACAGAGUAUCGUAAACCUCUUUUGUCAGGGAACAAAGGCGGGGACGUGUCCCCGGAUGAGUGUACCUGAAGAAAAAGCAUCGGCUAACUCCGUGCCAGCAGCCGCGGUAAUACGGAGGAUGAGAGCGUUAUCCGGAUUUAUUGGGUUAAAGGUGUGCGCAGGCGGUCUGUUAAGUCAGCGGUCAAAGCCCGGGGCUCAACCCCGGCCCGCCGUUGAAACUGGCAGUCGCGAGUUGGAGAGAAGUAUGCGGAAUGCGCGGUGUAGCGGUGAAAUGCAUAGAUAUCGCGCAGAACUCCGAUUGCGAAGGCAGCAUGCCGGCUCCACACUGACGCUGAGGCACGAAAGCGUGGGUAUCGAACAGGAUUAGAUACCCCAGUAGUC
Molecule: ribosomal RNA, 459 nt
Filed under: uncultured bacterium
Lineage: Bacteria
Description: partial 16S ribosomal RNA
Rfam family: Bacterial small subunit ribosomal RNA
Source: RNAcentral